CAAGGAAUUUUCCGCAAUGGGCGCAAGCCUGACGGAGCGACGCCGCGUGGAGGAAGACACUUUUCGGAGCGUAAACUCCUUUUCUGGGGGAUGAAGGCAGUGACAGUACCCCAGGAAGAAGGACCGGCUAACUACGUGCCAGCAGCCGCGGUAAGACGUAGGGUCCGAGCGUUGUCCGGAGUUACUGGGCGUAAAGGGCGCGUAGGCGGUUCCAUGCGUCCCACGUGAAAGCCCCUGGCUCAACCAGGGAGGGUCGUGGGAAACGGGGAAGCUGGAGGCAGCGAGAGGCUGGUGGAAUUCCCGGAGUAGUGGUGAAAUGCGUAGAGAUCGGGAGGAACACCGGUGGCGAAGGCGGCCAGCUGGCGCUGACCUGACGCUGAGGCGCGAAGGCGUGGGGAGCGAACG
RNAcentral lists this ribosomal RNA (405 nucleotides) under uncultured Nitrolancea sp. RNAcentral describes it as "bacterial SSU rRNA". It matches the Rfam family "Bacterial small subunit ribosomal RNA", at positions 355 to 774 of the family's 1533-position model. Lineage: Bacteria; Pseudomonadati; Thermomicrobiota; Thermomicrobia; Sphaerobacterales; Sphaerobacteraceae. The record is from RNAcentral.